RNAcentral lists this transfer RNA (78 nucleotides) under archaeon. RNAcentral describes it as "tRNA-Arg". It matches the Rfam family "tRNA". Rfam says of the family: Transfer RNA (tRNA) molecules are approximately 80 nucleotides in length. Their secondary structure includes four short double-helical elements and three loops (D, anti-codon, and T loops). The record is from RNAcentral. RNAcentral also lists the same sequence under 1 other name.
GGGCCCGUGGCCUAGCCUGGAUAAGGCGUCGGCCUGCGGAGCCGGAGAUCCCGGGUUCAAAUCCCGGCGGGCCCGCCA